AUCAGCCCAAAAGGCCUGUAGUACUACAACAAUCUCAUCAAUGGACAUGUCCUCCAUGGUAAUAUCACCGUAAAACAACAACUUGAUUCAUCAUUACAAAUGAAUUUUGUUUUGCCUCGAUUAUAGAUAGAAGAAUCCUUGGAGGAGCUUGCACCAGCUUGUUGUUUAUGCAGACUCAGAAAUACCCUAUGCCAGAAUACGAUAUUUGGUUUAUCAAGUUUUCAUGCAAUUUUCAUUACAAUGUGGCAGCAAUAGUUUCUGUCAAGAGCACAGGAUUUAUUAGAAUGACUUCCUAGAUUCUGCAAUCUUAAGCAUUUGAAGCUGACUAAGCUCUUACAUGUCUUGUUGUGAAACUGCAAUAUUAUGGCCUGUUUGUAUGGGGGUGAAUUCUGUUUUUUUCUUCUUCU
Long non-coding RNA from Magnolia sinica, 407 nucleotides. RefSeq lists it as uncharacterized. Lineage: Eukaryota; Viridiplantae; Streptophyta; Magnoliopsida; Magnoliales; Magnoliaceae. The record is from RefSeq and is a predicted model, not a curated record. The transcript has 3 exons.